GAUUAACGCUGGCGGCGUGCAUAACACAUGCAAGUCGAACGAUGAAACUCAUUAGAUUUCUUCGGAAUGAAAAUGAAUGGAUUAGUGGCGAACGGGUGAGUAACGCGUGAGUAACCUGCCUUACACAAGGGGAUAGCCUCUGGAAACGGAGAAUAAUACCCUAUGAAACCAGACAAUCACAUGAUAAUCUGGUCAAAAUGUUUAGUGGUGUAAGAUGGACUUGCGUCUGAUUAGCUAGUUGGUGAGAUAAAAGCUCACCAAGGCAACGAUCAGUAGCCGGCUUGAGAGAGUGUACGGCCACAUUGGGACUGAGACACGGCCCAGACUCCUACGGGAGGCAGCAGUGGGGAAUUUUGCACAAUGGGGGAAACCCUGAUGCAGCGACGCCGCGUGAUUUAGAAGGCCUUCGGGUUGUAAAAAUCUUUUGUAUAGGAAGAAAAUGACAGUACCAUAAGAAUAAGGUCCGGCUAAAUACGUGCCAGCAGCCGCGGUAAUACGUAUGGACCGAGCGUUGUCCGGAAUCAUUGGGCGUAAAGGGUACGUAGGCGGCCUAGUAAGUUAGAAGUGAAAUAAUAUAGCUCAACUAUAUAAAGCUUUUAAAACUGUUAGGCUUGAGAGAUGAAAGGGAAAGUGGAAUUCCUAGUGUAGCGGUGAAAUGCGCAGAUAUUAGGAAGAAUACCGGUGGCGAAGGCGACUUUCUGGUCAUCAUCUGACGCUGAGGUACGAAAGCGUGGGUAGCAAACAGGAUUAGAUACCCUGGUAGUCCACGCUGUAAACGAUGAGUGUUAGGUUCUUGGAAUAAUCUGGGAGCCGCAGCUAACGCAUUAAACACUCCGCCUGGGGAGUACGCACGCAAGUGUGAAACUCAAAGGAAUUGACGGGGACCCGCACAAGCAGCGGAGCAUGUGGUUUAAUUCGACGCAACGCGAAGAACCUUACCAAGUCUUGACAUAAUACGGAGGGAGUUAGAGAUAAUUCCUUAUCACUUCGGUGAGCUGUAUUACAGGUGGUGCAUGGUUGUCGUCAGCUCGUGUCGUGAGAUGUUGGGUUAAGUCCCAUAACGAGCGCAACCCCUAUCGUUAGUUACCAUCAUUAAGUUGGGGACUCUAGCGAUACUGCCGGUGAUAAACCGGAGGAAGGUGGGGACGACGUCAAAUCAUCAUGCCCUUUAUGACUUGGGCUACACACGUGCUACAAUGGCAGAUACAGAGGGCAGCGAAAGGGCGAUCUGAAGCGAAACUCACAAAGUCUGUCCCAGUUCGGAUUGUACUCUGCAACUCGAGUACAUGAAGUUGGAGUUGCUAGUAAUCGCGAAUCAGAAUGUCGCGGUGAAUGCGUUCCCGGGUCU
Molecule: ribosomal RNA, 1348 nt
Filed under: uncultured bacterium
Lineage: Bacteria
Description: bacterial SSU rRNA
Rfam family: Bacterial small subunit ribosomal RNA
Source: RNAcentral